RNAcentral lists this ribosomal RNA (366 nucleotides) under uncultured bacterium. Its description in RNAcentral is "partial 16S ribosomal RNA". It matches the Rfam family "Bacterial small subunit ribosomal RNA", at positions 338 to 701 of the family's 1533-position model. The record is from RNAcentral.
CCUAUGGGAGGCAGCAGUGAGGAAUAUUGGUCAAUGGACGAGAGUCUGAACCAGCCAAGUAGCGUGAAGGAUGACGGCCCUAUGGGUUGUAAACUUCUUUUAUAAAGGAAUAAAACGAGGCACGUGUGCCUUUUUGCAUGUACGUUAUGAAUAAGGAUCGGCUAACUCCGUGCCAGCAGCCGCGGUAAUACGGAGGAUCCGAGCGUUAUCCGGAUUUAUUUGGUUUAAAGGGAGCGUAGAUGGGUUGGUAAGUCAGUGGUGCAAGUUUGCGGCUCAACCGUCAAAUUGCCAGUGAUACUGGCAGUCUUGUGUACAGUUGCGGUAAGCGGCAUUCGUGUUGUAGCGGUGACCUGCUUAGAUCUCACG